Molecule: transfer RNA, 67 nt
Filed under: Drabescoides nuchalis
Lineage: Eukaryota; Metazoa; Arthropoda; Insecta; Hemiptera; Cicadellidae
Description: tRNA-Tyr
Source: RNAcentral
AUUAAGAUGUCUGAUAAAAAGUAGUAAACUGUAAAUUUGCUUAUGGACUAACCUGGUUCUCUUAAUA